Brassica rapa (field mustard) is the source of this 718-nucleotide long non-coding RNA. RefSeq lists it as uncharacterized. The record is from RefSeq and is a predicted model, not a curated record. NCBI's taxonomy places the organism in Eukaryota, Viridiplantae, Streptophyta, Magnoliopsida, Brassicales, Brassicaceae.
AAUCAAAAAGACAAUUAAAAGGCAAAGACGUCUCUUAUUUGGGCUUAAGAAGAUACGUAUUUUCUUAACACGUGUAGGCAAAAUGAGAGGAGAGAGGGGGAGCGUGUAUUUGUUUUGUCAUUUCUCUCUCUGUCGAAACUGAAUCAGCUAGAAAUCGUAUCGGAGGUCGGAGAAGACGAUUCUCGUACUCUCUCCGUCGAUCGUCGACAUACCGGCGAUACUACCUCUCUCCACACCUCCUAACGGAAUCCUCUGUCUCUGUGGCUCGUCCGAGAAGGCGAAUCUCCCUCUCUCGCCGUGAUUCUAUUGGAAUCAGAAGGUUCAAUUCUGCCUCGCGGUGGCUCUCCUCGACCGCUGACGGAGCUCUAUGUCUCUCGGUUGCUCUCCGCGACGGCUGAUGGAGCUCUCUGUGUGGCGGUGGCUCUCCUCGACGGCUGACGGAGCUCUCUGUCGAUGGCUCUCUGCAAAUCGCUCAGGUAAAGCUUAUGUUUCAUGUUCUUCAAUCAUACAUUUCGUAGUUUAAAAUAUUUUCUUUCAAUCUCGUUUUGUUUGUUGCUUUUGAUUUAGCUUCUUUGUGGUGAAUAAUUUUUUUUUUGUUUCUGUCUUUUGUCAAUGUCUUGUGCGUGCUGAGAUGACGGGAUCAAAUCGCGUUUGAGAUGGCUGUAUCAAGUGUGCUUAAGCAAGGGUCAUUUUACAGAGGAAUACGCAGCAUCACAGG